CCUACGGGCGGCAGCAGUGGGGAAUAUUGCACAAUGGGCGCAAGCCUGAUGCAGCCAUGCCGCGUGUGUGAAGAAGGCCUUCGGGAUGUAAAGCACUUUCAGCGGGGAGGAAGGCGGUGAGGUUAAUAACCUCAUCGAUUGACGUUACCCGCAGAAGAAGCACCGGCUAACUCCGUGCCAGCAGCCGCGGUAAUACGGAGGGUGCAAGCGUUAAUCGGAAUUACUGGGCGUAAAGCGCACGCAGGCGGUCUGUCAAGUCGGAUGUGAAAUCCCCGGGCUCAACCUGGGAACUGCAUUCGAAACUGGCAGGCUAGAGUCUUGUAGAGGGGGGUAGAAUUCCAGGUGUAGCGGUGAAAUGCGUAGAGAUCUGGAGGAAUACCGGUGGCGAAGGCGGCCCCCUGGACAAAGACUGACGCUCAGGUGCGAAAGCGUGGGGAGCAAACAGGAUUAGAUACCCCAGUAGUC
This 465-nucleotide ribosomal RNA is filed under the name uncultured Klebsiella sp. Its description in RNAcentral is "bacterial SSU rRNA". It matches the Rfam family "Bacterial small subunit ribosomal RNA", at positions 338 to 795 of the family's 1533-position model. Lineage: Bacteria; Pseudomonadati; Pseudomonadota; Gammaproteobacteria; Enterobacterales; Enterobacteriaceae. The record is from RNAcentral.